AGAGUUUGAUUAUGGCUCAGGAUGAACGCUGGCGGCGUGCCUAAUACAUGCAAGUGAAACGGGUAUCUUCGGAUACCAGUCGCGGACGGGUGAGUAAUACAUAGGCAACCUGCCUUUAUGAGGGGGAUAACCGAGGGAAACUUUGGCUAAUACCGCAUGAAGACUCUAAGGCAUCUUAGAGGGAUAAAAGUUGGGAAACAACGCAUGAAGAUGGGCUUAUGGCGCAUUAGCUAGUUGGUGAGAUAGAAGCCCACCAAGGUAAUGAUGCGUAGCCGACCUGAGAGGGUGAACGGCCACAUUGGGACUGAGACACGGCCCAAACUCCUACGGGAGGCAGCAGUAGGGAAUUUUCGGCAAUGGGGGGAACCCUGACCGAGCAACGCCGCGUGAAAGGAAGAAGGUUUUCGGAUUGUAAACUUCUGUUAUAAGGGAAGAACGGAUUGGAUAGGGAAUGAUCUGAUAGUGACGGUACCUUAUUAGAAAGCCACGGCUAACUACGUGCCAGCCGCUGC
RNAcentral lists this ribosomal RNA (512 nucleotides) under uncultured bacterium. Its description in RNAcentral is "bacterial SSU rRNA". It matches the Rfam family "Bacterial small subunit ribosomal RNA", at positions 8 to 518 of the family's 1533-position model. The record is from RNAcentral.